This 467-nucleotide ribosomal RNA is filed under the name uncultured bacterium. Its description in RNAcentral is "bacterial SSU rRNA". It matches the Rfam family "Bacterial small subunit ribosomal RNA", at positions 60 to 524 of the family's 1533-position model. The record is from RNAcentral.
AGUCGAACGGUAACAGGUCUUCGGAUGCUGACGAGUGGCGAACGGGUGAGUAAUACAUCGGAACGUGCCCGAGAGUGGGGGAUAACGAGGCGAAAGCUUUGCUAAUACCGCAUACGAUCUCAGGAUGAAAGCAGGGGACCGCAAGGCCUUGCGCUCACGGAGCGGCCGAUGGCAGAUUAGGUAGUUGGUGGGAUAAAAGCUUACCAAGCCGACGAUCUGUAGCUGGUCUGAGAGGACGACCAGCCACACUGGGACUGAGACACGGCCCAGACUCCUACGGGAGGCAGCAGUGGGGAAUUUUGGACAAUGGGCGCAAGCCUGAUCCAGCCAUGCCGCGUGCAGGAUGAAGGCCUUCGGGUUGUAAACUGCUUUUGUACGGAACGAAAAGACUCCUUCUAAUAAAGGGGGUCCAUGACGGUACCGUAAGAAUAAGCACCGGCUAACUACGUGCCAGCAGCCGCGGUAAU